Molecule: transfer RNA, 87 nt
Filed under: bacterium
Lineage: Bacteria
Description: tRNA-Leu
Rfam family: tRNA
About the family: Transfer RNA (tRNA) molecules are approximately 80 nucleotides in length.
Source: RNAcentral
GCCGCGAUGGCGGAAAUGGUAGACGCGCUAGUUUCAGAGACUAGUGGGAGCAAUCUCGUGGAGGUUCAAGUCCUCUUCGCGGCACCA